UACGGAGGGCGCAAGCGGUGUUCGGAAUCACUGGGCGUAAAGCGCGUGUAGGCGGCUUGGCAAGUCGGGUGUGAAAGCCCGGGGCCUAACCCCGGAACUGCAUUCGAAACUGCCUCGCUCGAGUCCCGGAGAGGAUGGUGGAAUUCCCGGUGUAGUGGUGAAAUACGUAGAUAUCGGGAGGAACACCAGCGGCGAAGGCGGCCAUCUGGACGGUGACUGACGCUGAGACGCGAAAGCGUGGGGAGCAAACAGG
RNAcentral lists this ribosomal RNA (253 nucleotides) under uncultured bacterium. Its description in RNAcentral is "partial 16S ribosomal RNA". It matches the Rfam family "Bacterial small subunit ribosomal RNA", at positions 524 to 776 of the family's 1533-position model. The record is from RNAcentral.